RNAcentral lists this long non-coding RNA (1056 nucleotides) under Musa acuminata (dwarf banana). RNAcentral's name for it is "long non-coding RNA (MACU_LNC001140)". The record is from RNAcentral. Lineage: Eukaryota; Viridiplantae; Streptophyta; Magnoliopsida; Zingiberales; Musaceae.
UUCACCAAAGUCUUAUUCUUAUCUUUUUCCCAUUUUCGUAUCAAAUUGGUACAGAGCUUUGUUCAAAGGGCUUUCCAACUUUAACUUCCUUGUCUCACCGUAGCUGGAUAUAGUCGACGCAAUAGAAGAAGCCAAGAUGAUGAUGGGGCGUGCCAAACAAAUAUUUCAAAGAUUUGAGGAAAGAAUAAGAAGAUAGACUUCACAAGAUUUAGGUAUAGAUAAUCUCUUGUAUUAGGAAGAGAUUGAAAGAUCUUAUUAAAUAAGAGGGCAUAUGAACCUUCAAAUACUUUUAUCAUGUCCUAAUUCUUAUGAUGUUCUUUAUGCGAGGAUUUAUCAUCAUCAAAACUUACUUUUCAUGCAUCCUCCACCGAGUCCCACUAUUCCUCUUAUCUUAUCAGAAAUCAUUGGCUUGUGACCUGCAAUAGACAAACCAAUUGCGAGUCAUAAAACUCGAAAACAGACUUAAGAGAAGUCUAGGAAAUUUGCCUGCACUGUAAGCUAGGUGCAAUGAAGAGACAGAGACAGAUAGUUAGAGAGAGAGAGAGAGAGAGAGUGCUGUAACUUGAGGCAACUUGAUGUUGAUGAUGCUUGCGAAGUGUAUGCUGCUGAUUUGAACCACACAAAAGAUGCGUGCUGCUAAUGGACACUGAGUGAAGGAAAUAAUGUUCUUAUCUGUGGAAGUUGGAAGUUGGGAUCUCAAGCACGGCAAUAACGCGGAAGUUACUGUCCCACUACAGUACCAUUUGGUCGAUGGAAUCUUCCUCCAAAAUCCCAAAGAACACGAGGGACAGGGAAGAGCAGUGGUUGGCAUGGGAAAGGAAUGGGAAGCCCACAUGAAUCCUCCACAAACACAAACACACACACACACUCUCUCUCUUGACAUCUUCUUAUCCAAGAUAUGCUCGGAGUAUCUUGAGGUGCCCAAGAUGAGGGGCAAGGGAGAUGAAGCCAACCUCGACCAUGCACACCCACAUCCUACUUCUCCUACCUCCACUCUCUCUAUGUUGCCACAAUUGCCUCCAUAGCUUUUCAAGGAGACCUACUGGACAAAGAGAG